AGCGAACGUUAGCGGCGCGCCUAACACAUGCAAGUCGCACGAGAAAGGGAGCAAUCCCCGGUACAGUGGCGCACGGGUGAGUAACACGUAGAUGACCUUCCCUGGAGUGGUGGAUAACCUGCCGAAAGGCGGGCUAAUACAGCAUGGGACCACAUGGUUUUGACCGAGUGGUGAAAGCGGGCCUCUGUUCACAAGCUCGCGCUCUGGGAUGGGUCUGCGUCCCAUCAGCUAGUUGGUGAGGUAAUGGCUCACCAAGGCAUCGACGGGUAGCUGGUCUGAGAGGAUGACCAGCCACACUGGAACUGAGACACGGUCCAGACUCCUACGGGAGGCAGCAGUGGGGAAUCUUGCGCAAUGGGCGAAAGCCUGACGCAGCGACGCCGCGUGGGUGAUGAAGGCCUCGGUUGUAAGACCUGUGGGAGGAACGGACCGUACGGGGCGGAACGA
This 447-nucleotide ribosomal RNA is filed under the name uncultured bacterium. RNAcentral describes it as "bacterial SSU rRNA". It matches the Rfam family "Bacterial small subunit ribosomal RNA", at positions 30 to 472 of the family's 1533-position model. The record is from RNAcentral.